RNAcentral lists this ribosomal RNA (369 nucleotides) under uncultured organism. RNAcentral's name for it is "bacterial SSU rRNA". It matches the Rfam family "Bacterial small subunit ribosomal RNA", at positions 526 to 896 of the family's 1533-position model. The record is from RNAcentral.
CGUAGGGUGGCAAGCGUUGUCCGGAUUUAUUGGGUUUAAAGGGUGCGUAGGUGGCCCUGUAAGUCAGUGGUGAAAUAUCUCAGCUUAACUGAGAGGGUGCCAUUGAUACUGCGGGGCUUGAGUACAGAUGAGGUAGGCGGAAUUGGCGGUGUAGCGGUGAAAUGCAUAGAUAUCGUCAAGAACACCGAUAGCGAAGGCAGCUUACCAAGCUGUAACUGACACUGAGGCACGAAAGUGUGGGGAUCAAACAGGAUUAGAUACCCUGGUAGUCCACACUGUAAACGUUGAUGACUCGAUGUUGGCGAUACACAGCCAGCGUCCAAGAGCAAUCGUUAAGUCAUCCACCUGGGGAGUACGCCGGCAACGGUG